UGUGUUUGUUGGCAGUCUGUAUGUGUUCUUUGGAGAAAUGUCUAUUUAGGUCUUCUGCCCAUUUUUGGAUUGUGUAACCACCUUUUUAUAAAAGGUUAAUGAGGAAGCAAGUCAAGCCUUUACACGAUUUCCUUCCUUUAAAACAUUUUCGAAAAACAGAACAGCUCAGCCUACUGACAGAACUUAGGAAAGAGAGGAAUAAUAAUGUUAACUUACUAGGGGUCUGGGACUGUGCUAGUUGCUGUACGGGGAUUCUCAUUCGAUGCUUCCUACAACACUCUAAGAUAGAUACUACUAUCCACUACUCCCCCUUCAUCCUACAGGUGAGAAACUAAGCUUCACAGAAGCCAAAGAACUUGCCUAAAGUUAAACACCAGUAAACAGCAAAGCCUGAACACGAGCCUGGGUCUUCCUAGCUCUGCAUCUGCACUUUUAACCACUAUGAGUACGACACUGGAAGGGAAGAAUGGAGGUGGGAAUAGAAAAAUGACAUUCCUUCCUCCUUAUGUAGGUAUCGGUUAGAAUCCAGGAAAGAACCACUGCAGGUUCUUUGCUUCAUUUGAAAGUUACCAGUCCGUGUGGGUGCGCAUGUAUGUUUGGAUGUACUCAGAAACAUACACAACGUAUGCACGCACACACACUGCAAAUCUUCCCACACUGUAAAUGUCUCCCAGGCUCUAUGUGGGCCUUGCUUAAAGGUCACCCAACAGGCCCCAAGGAAAAGAAGGGCUUGGUUUAAAAAGCUUUAUAUUUCCUCUCACUUUUUCAAACACUGGAAAAUCCAUUUGGCUCAGAGAAAUGAAUAGUAAAAGGAGUUCUAACUACUUAGAGCCAACAAAACAUAACGGAAAAAAGGCAAGAAUAUGGCUGGACUUUAUUUUCUUUUUGCUCAGCACAUCCUGUCUUUAAUCUGAAUGGUAAAUAGGCCAUGCCAACAUACUAACUCUUUUUAGGUGAAAUUAUCUAGGUUAUGAAAACAAGCAACAACUGUGUUUUCAUUAUUCUUUAAUUCGUGGCUGACAGAAAUAGCUUCCAAAAUAAAUCAGAGAGGCAAAUAUUGCUCACAAGGGAGAAACCCACAAAUUUUCCCUCCUUUGAUAAUGGAUUUUUGUGAAUUUUUUUUUCUUUCCCUUGAAUUAUAAUUGUGUGGUAUUAUCUGAAAGAGUGUGUUGCAAAAGCUAGAAAAGGGGAAUUUGAAUUUUCAUAUUUGCAUUAUUUAAAUCCAUGGGGGAGGGUGGGGAGAGAGAGAGAGACUUUUUCCAUAUUAUUCAUUAUUAAUUAACAUCCCUGAGAUAUUUAACUUUCAAGUACAACAAGGAAUUUUACAACACCUCCCUCUGUAACCCCACAAUAUCUUUGGCUCCGUGACGCACCUAAUGAUUCAUGACUUAAGUCAGGCUAGUGAGAGCUCCACCCAUCUUUGUCCAUAUAUUUAGCUUCCCUUGCUUCAUACUAUACUUUCUUCUCUAUGUUAAAUCUGAGCAAACAGUCUAACAGAAACCAUCUUCUCAAACAGAACAUGGUAAAGCUUCUUUUAACAAGAAACUAGACACAUCGAUGGAUUAUUUGAAGCAACAUCUGUCCCCUUCCUUUCUCUGGAUGUCAUUUAAAUCAAGAAUUACAUCCAUGGGGAUUAGCAAAGGUCCUGAAGCGAUGUGAGAAAGUCAAAGAAAACAGUUUUGAAGCACAGCACUCAGAAACAAAGUAAGACCAAAGGAAACUGAAGCUGCCCCGUGAUGACAAGGCCGUUUCCUUACUUCCUGCGAAGCAACACACGCUGACAAGAUGAGGAAGAACCAGCAUAAACAUCACUUACUGAAGCCUCCUUCUGUCCACCCAACUAUCAGUGUAACAUCCUGGUCCCUACACUCCUAACCUCCUGCUCUGCUUUUUUUCUAAGCCCCUAUUACCCACUAGUAUGUAACUUACCUAUCCAGUAUGCUAAUUAUUUAUUAUGUAACUCCUUUGAUAGCAUGUAAGUUCCUAAGAGCAAGGAUCUAUGCUGGGUUUUGUUUCUUUAACUGAUAAAUCGCGGUGCCUAGAACAGUUCCCGGAACACACAAAUGCUGCUCACUAGAUAUCUGUUGAAUAAAGGGAUAAAUGAUACUA
Molecule: long non-coding RNA, 2109 nt
Organism: Aethalodelphis obliquidens (Pacific white-sided dolphin)
Lineage: Eukaryota; Metazoa; Chordata; Mammalia; Artiodactyla; Delphinidae
Exons: 2
Source: RefSeq, a predicted model, not a curated record